GACGAAGGAUGCAAGCGUUAUCCGGAUUCAUUGGGUUUAAAGGGUGCGUAGGCGGACUGAUAAGUCAGUGGUGAAAUCUCUCAGCUUAACUGAGAAACUGCCAUUGAUACUGUUAGUCUAGAGUAUAGAUGACGUUGGCGGAAUAUGACAUGUAGUGGUGAAAUACUUAGAUAUGUCAUAGAACACCGAUUGCGAAGGCAGCUAACGAAACUAUAACUGACGCUGAGGCACGAAAGUGCGGGGAUCAAACAGGAUUAGAUACCCUAGUAGU
RNAcentral lists this ribosomal RNA (271 nucleotides) under uncultured bacterium. Its description in RNAcentral is "partial 16S ribosomal RNA". It matches the Rfam family "Bacterial small subunit ribosomal RNA", at positions 524 to 794 of the family's 1533-position model. The record is from RNAcentral.